Molecule: long non-coding RNA, 555 nt
Organism: Homo sapiens (human)
Lineage: Eukaryota; Metazoa; Chordata; Mammalia; Primates; Hominidae
Gene: KCTD21-AS1
Product: KCTD21 antisense RNA 1
Source: Ensembl
GCAGGCGUUUGUAGCCACUUUUAAGUUUUAUCAGCUAGUUCAUGCUUGCGUUGAAAGAGUGGUCGUUUGCGCUGGGUCAUCACUGUGUAGUAUUGGGGAUACUUAGGUGAGAAAAAAACUUAACGCUAGAGACGUUCACGCACUAGUGGAGAAGCCAGGAUUGUUGCCCUAGAGUUACAGUAGAUAAAAGUACCUCAGAGAACUGCGGGGGCUCCCAACCUGGACGCUUGCACCGGAGUAUUAAAUCCAGCUAGAGAAUGGCAUGUGCAAAGAUACAGAGGGUCUCGCUCUGUAUCCCAGGCUGGAGUUCAGUGGCACGAUCUCCGCUCGCUGCAACCUCCGCCUCCUGGGUUCAAGUGAUUCUCCUGCCUCAGCCUCCCAAGUAGCUGGAUUACAGAGCAUGUGGGUGAGAAGAAUCGAUGCAGAAGCCAUCGCUCAGAGCGAUUUUCAGUACCUCUUCCACGAAGACCUGGAAGCUGUUGAUCUGCUUGUUGGCGGGCACCACCCAGAGCCUCUUGAGGUUCUGCUUGGUGUACUCCUCCUCUGGCAGGCCCU